Brassica napus (rape) is the source of this 521-nucleotide long non-coding RNA. RefSeq lists it as uncharacterized. The record is from RefSeq and is a predicted model, not a curated record. Lineage: Eukaryota; Viridiplantae; Streptophyta; Magnoliopsida; Brassicales; Brassicaceae. The transcript is spliced from 4 exons.
AUUAAAAUCAGUAUAUGAAAUUCAUUGUAUAAAUUAUUUUGAUCACGUGCAACAGGUCAAGUGGAAUCUGUGAUUCCUCCGAUCGUCGGAAUAUACGUCUCCCCCAUCUUCCCCACUCCAUAAGACCCUCUUUCCUCUGUUUUGACCUUUCCUCACAAAAGCUUCUGAACUUUUGUACAAAGUUGGAUAAUUGGUCACUUCACAGAGUCUGCAGAAGCUACUGCGCAGAAAAACUGAAGCAGCCCUUUCAAAUGACUACUAUGAGUCAGACAUUGCAUGGAUGGACUUGGCUUCAUUUGAAUCCGAGAUGAUAAAGCCACAACUGAUCUGAAACUCUUUGGUGUCAAUCUAAAGCUAUUGGAAGACAAUCUCCCGCUUAACAGAGUUACAAAUUAAAAGAUGUGUCUGCUGCUCCAAUUCGUUUCUUUCAGUGACAUGAAAGGGUCGUUGGUCGGAUUUCACUGAGUAUCAAAACGAAGCUGCAAAAGCAGAAGUUACACGAUGAAGAAUCUGGAGCUGAG